Molecule: unclassified non-coding RNA, 262 nt
Filed under: Hevea brasiliensis (rubber tree)
Lineage: Eukaryota; Viridiplantae; Streptophyta; Magnoliopsida; Malpighiales; Euphorbiaceae
Source: RNAcentral
GAGCAACAGAAUUGAAAAUAAAUAUGUUUCAUCGAGUAUAUAACAAGAGACAUGAGUACAAUUACGCAAUUGUGGAAAACGACCUUCAUUUCUAUCUUGCUUCUGGACCCAUUUCUGUUUCAAGAUCCACAGUAAUCAUUUCAAACGAAUUGCUUAGUCUCGCUGUUUGCCCCUCCAUUCUGCAAUUCUGUUCACGAGCAAUUUCUGUUUCUAAACACUCCUUUAAUUCUGAAACUACGUGGUUCAUAGUUGGCCUUUGAAU